RNAcentral lists this ribosomal RNA (688 nucleotides) under uncultured Actinomycetales bacterium. RNAcentral's name for it is "bacterial SSU rRNA". It matches the Rfam family "Bacterial small subunit ribosomal RNA", at positions 78 to 780 of the family's 1533-position model. The record is from RNAcentral. Lineage: Bacteria; Bacillati; Actinomycetota; Actinomycetes; Actinomycetales.
CUUCGGUCCUGCGAUCAGUGGCGAACGGGUGCGUAACACGUGGGCAACCUGCCCCAGACUCUGGGAUAACCCCGGGAAACCGGAGCUAAUACCGGAUACUUUCACGGAACCACAUGGCUCUGUGAUGAAAGAACUUCGGUCUGGGAUGGGCCCGCGGCCUAUCAGCUUGUUGGUGAGGUAACGGCUCACCAAGGCGACGACGGGUAGCUGGUCUGAGAGGACGACCAGCCACACUGGGACUGAGAUACGGCCCAGACUCCUACGGGAGGCAGCAGUGGGGAAUCUUGCGCAAUGGGCGAAAGCCUGACGCAGCGACGCCGCGUGGGGGAUGAAGGCCUUCGGGUUGUAAACCCCUUUCGACAGGGAAGAAGCGAAAGUGACGGUACCUGUAGAAGAAGUCCCGGCUAACUACGUGCCAGCAGCCGCGGUAAGACGUAGGGGACGAGCGUUGUCCGGAUUUAUUGGGCGUAAAGCGCACGCAGGCGGCUUGGUAAGUCGGGUGUGAAAAUCCGAGGCUCAACCUCGGACGUGCACCCGAAACUGCCCGGCUAGAGGUAGGUAGGGGAGAUCGGAAUUCCUGGUGUAGCGGUGAAAUGCGCAGAUAUCAGGAGGAACACCGGUGGCGAAGGCGGAUCUCUGGGCCUUACCUGACGCUCAUGUGCGAAAGCUAGGGGAGCGAACAGGAUUA